RNAcentral lists this unclassified non-coding RNA (400 nucleotides) under uncultured fungus. RNAcentral's name for it is "sequence contains ITS1". The stretch from base 1 to 97 matches the Rfam family "5.8S ribosomal RNA", at positions 50 to 154 of the family's 154-position model. The record is from RNAcentral. Lineage: Eukaryota; Fungi.
GAAAUGCGAUACGCAAUGCGAAUUGCAGAACGCGAGUCAUCAGAUCUUUGAACGCAAGUGGCGCCGGUUAGCAGCCGGCAUGUGGUGCUCAGUGUGUUCGGAAAUCACACAGCUGAAUGUGGUUGAAGAGAGAGGGGGGGAGGGAAGGAUUUAUUUUUUUCAUCUCCCCACUCUUUUCUCCCAUUAAACGAGCGGAGAAGCGUAGCCUUAAAAGCGCGCUGAGAUUUUAGCAAUAAGGUCUCAGCACCUCUUCUCUUUCUCCGGAAGUAGUCACUAGCAUCCUAGUGUCCUACGGACGAGAGAUGAAGUAUGGUGAGUCGUUUCCAGGCAUUUUGCGCCCCGAAAUAAAAAAAAUUACACCUCUACACCUGAGCUCCGCAAGAUCACCCGCUGAACUUAA